GGGAGUAUAACUCAAUUUGGAAGAGUAAUUAGUGUUUUUUAGUACUGAUAGUUGUAGGUUCAACUCCUACUACUCCUA
RNAcentral lists this transfer RNA (78 nucleotides) under Candidatus Hepatoplasma crinochetorum Av. RNAcentral describes it as "tRNA-Und (NNN) (tRNA-Und-NNN-1-1)". It matches the Rfam family "tRNA". From Rfam's summary of the family: Transfer RNA (tRNA) molecules are approximately 80 nucleotides in length. Their secondary structure includes four short double-helical elements and three loops (D, anti-codon, and T loops). Lineage: Bacteria; Bacillati; Mycoplasmatota; Mollicutes; Mycoplasmatales; Hepatoplasmataceae (SeqCode). The record is from Rfam by way of RNAcentral.